RNAcentral lists this long non-coding RNA (1360 nucleotides) under Anas platyrhynchos platyrhynchos (common mallard). RNAcentral describes it as "lncRNA (ENSAPLG00000028236.1)". The record is from RNAcentral. Lineage: Eukaryota; Metazoa; Chordata; Aves; Anseriformes; Anatidae.
GGACAAACUUUUGUCACUUGUCACCCCCCUGCCCCUCCGCCACCCGCUCCCUUCCAGCAAGGGAUGCUGGUGGUCCCCGUCGUGGCCAACCUGGGCCCCCUGGAGAACCUGAAGCUGUCCCCAAACCCCGAGGAGGUGGCGGAGACCUUCACGCUGCCACUGGCCCACCUGCUGCAGGAGGAGAACCAGGGCUACACGCAUUUCCGCACGCGGGGCCGCUACGGCUACACCCUGCCUGUUUUCCUCCAUGGCCCCCACCGCGUUUGGGGGCUCACAGCCAUCAUCACCGAGCUCACCCUGGAGCUGCUGGCGCCCGAGCGCUACCGCAGGAAGACCCACGUGCCCGGCCGCCACCUCGCCGCCCCUCCGCGCAGGGCCUGACCCCGACCUUUUCCCAAUAUUUGGGGUGCCGCCUGCCCUUCGCAGCACUCCGGGGGUGCUGCCUGUUGGUUUGGUUUGUUGUUUUUUGGGGUGCGUGGGGCUCAGCCCCGCCGUGUGCUAGAGGGGAGGGGGCAGCCCCGGGGCUGUCACGCACUCCACGCUGCUGCCCAGCCUGUGACACUGUGAUUGUAGUAAAAAGCCAUGUUUUAAACCACUUACACCACAGCCUCCAGCUCGCUGGUGCAGGUAAGAGCCCUCCUUGGGGCCAGGGAGCUGCUUGGCUCAGGGGUCCAGGGAGAGGAGGGGAAAUGGGGGCUUGUGGGGAGCCAGGACCUCACCCAGAGGCUUCCCAGCCCUUGGCUAAGCCUGGCCACAUCGCCCUUUCCCAGGGAGCCUCUGCUCCUGAUUUUAUGACUGCAGCCCCCCAAAGCAGAGAGAGGAGCCUGUGAGCACAGCAGCGUUUAUUAAGGAGCCCCCAGCAGCAGCCCCUUACCCCCACGAAGCCCCCAGGCAGGGGGGAGCACAGUGCCACCCCCCCGUCCUCCACCGCUGCCUCCUCACGCCGAGGCCGCUCGAGCUUUGGCCUCCCCAAAGCGCCGCAUCCUGUCCUCCAGCUCCGGCCGAAAGUGGCGGAUUAGGCCCUGGGGAGAGCAAACGAGGCGGAAUUAACAGGGCAGGAAUUAACACCAGCCGAAAAUCCCCCCAAAACCCCCCCUCCUGGCCCCACAACCCCGCACCUGCACGGGCCAGGCGGCGCCGUCACCCAGGGCGCAGAUGGUGUGGCCCUCGAUCUGCUUGCUGAUCUCCCAGAGCGCGUCGAUCUCGGCCACCUGCGCGUCGCCCCGCACGAAGCGAGCCAUCACUUUAUUCAUCCAGUCGACGCCUACGAGGAGGGGAAGGUGGUGAGGGUCCCACGGCACCGGCUGCUGCCCCCCCCAACCCAUCCGUCCUAGCCUCAUGCGCUCACCUUCCCGGCACG